UACAGAGGUCCCAAGCGUUGUUCGGAUUCACUGGGCGUAAAGGGUGCGUAGGCGGUCGGGUAAGUCUGGCGUGAAAUCUCCAAGCCUAACUUGGAAACUGCGUUGGAUACUAUCCGGCUCGAGGAAUGGAGGGGAGACUGGAAUACUUGGUGUAGCAGUGAAAUGCGUAGAUAUCAAGUGGAACACCAGUGGCGAAGGCGAGUCUCUGGACCACAACUGACGCUGAGGCACGAAAGCUAGGGGAGCAAACAGG
RNAcentral lists this ribosomal RNA (253 nucleotides) under uncultured bacterium. Its description in RNAcentral is "partial 16S ribosomal RNA". It matches the Rfam family "Bacterial small subunit ribosomal RNA", at positions 524 to 776 of the family's 1533-position model. The record is from RNAcentral.